Molecule: ribosomal RNA, 253 nt
Filed under: uncultured bacterium
Lineage: Bacteria
Description: partial 16S ribosomal RNA
Rfam family: Bacterial small subunit ribosomal RNA
Source: RNAcentral
UACGUAGGGGGCAAGCGUGGUCCGGAUUUAUGGGGCGUAAAGAGCGUGUGGGCGGCCAGACAGGUCAGCUGUGAAAACUCGAGGCUCAACCUCGAGACGUCGGUUGAAACCGUCUGGCUAGAGUCCGGAAGAGGAGAGUGGAAUUCCCGGUGUAGCGGUGAAAUGCGCAGAUAUCGGGAAGAACACCCGUGGCGAAGGCGGCUCUCUGGGACGGUACUGACGCUGAGACGCGAAAGCGUGGGGAGCGAACAGG